This 477-nucleotide ribosomal RNA is filed under the name uncultured bacterium. Its description in RNAcentral is "bacterial SSU rRNA". It matches the Rfam family "Bacterial small subunit ribosomal RNA", at positions 43 to 518 of the family's 1533-position model. The record is from RNAcentral.
CGCGCCUAACACAUGCCAAAGUCGAACGGAACGUAGUUCGGAUGAAGUUUUCGGAUGGAUGAAGAACAGUUAGUGGCGGACGGGUGAGUAACACGUGAGCAACCUGCCUUUCAGAGGGGAAUAACAUUCGGAAACGAAUGCUAAUACCGCAUAAUGCAACGAGAUGGCAUCAUCUUGUUGCCAAAGAUUUAUCGCUGAAAGAUGGGCUCGCGCCCGAUUAGCUAGUUGGUGAGGUAAUGGCCCACCAAGGCAACGAUCGGUAGCCGGACUGAGAGGUUGAUCGGCCACAUUGGGACUGAGACACGGCCCAGACUCCUACGGGAGGCAGCAGUGGGGAUAUUGCACAAUGGGCGAAAGCCUGAAUGCAGCGACGCCGCGUGAGGGAAGACGGUUUUCGGAUUGUAAACCUCUGUCUUCAGGGACGAUAAUGACGGUACCUGAGGAGGAAGCACCGGCUAACUACGUGCCAGCCGCCGC